RNAcentral lists this ribosomal RNA (596 nucleotides) under uncultured eukaryote. RNAcentral describes it as "SSU rRNA". It matches the Rfam family "Eukaryotic small subunit ribosomal RNA", at positions 587 to 1187 of the family's 1831-position model. The record is from RNAcentral.
AGCUCCAAUAGCGUAUAUUAAAGUUGUUGCAGUUAAAAAGCUCGUAGUUGAACCUUGGGCCUGGCUGGCCGGUCCGCCUCACCGCGUGCACUGGUCCGGCCGGGCCUUUCCUUCUGGGGAGCCUCAUGCCCUUCACUGGGUGUGUUGGGGAACCAGGACUUUUACUUUGAAAAAAUUAGAGUGUUCAAAGCAGGCCUAUGCUCGAAUACAUUAGCAUGGAAUAAUAGAAUAGGACGUGUGGUUCUAUUUUGUUGGUUUCUAGGACCGCCGUAAUGAUUAAUAGGGAUAGUCGGGGGCAUCAGUAUUCAAUUGUCAGAGGCGAAAUUCUUGGAUUAAUUGAAGACUAACUACUGCGAAAGCAUUUGCCAAGGAUGUUUUCAUUAAUCAGUGAACGAAAGUUAGGGGAUCGAAGACGAUCAGAUACCGUCGUAGUCUUAACCAUAAACUAUGCCGACUAGGGAUCGGGCGAUGUUAUCUUUUUGACUCGCUCGGCACCUUACGAGAAAUCAAAGUUUUUGGGUUCUGGGGGGAGUAUGGUCGCAAGGCUGAAACUUAAAGAAAUUGACGGAAGGGCACCACCAGGAGUGGAGCCUGCG